AGAAAAGCUGUGAAAAGAACAAGUAGAAAUUAGAUGAGCCAAACAGAAAAUUGCCGGAUGAUGAGAGGCAUAUGGAAUUCUAAUUUUGAAUACAUCUUAGAGCUUCAAACUGAACAAAAUUAAAUUUUUAAGUAGGUUAGACGUAUCCUUGCACACGUUAUAGUGCUAAAGUAUAUCCAUGAAAAUGGCGUACUUGAAGAGGUUAAUUAUGUGAGUAAUUAAUAAAUUAAGGUGGUAACACGAGAUAUACUCUCGUCCUUUAU
RNAcentral lists this non-coding RNA (263 nucleotides) under Clostridium botulinum. RNAcentral's name for it is "T-box sequence". It matches the Rfam family "T-box leader". From Rfam's summary of the family: Uncharged tRNA acts as the effector for transcription antitermination of genes in the T-box leader family. T-boxes are found upstream of many aminoacyl-tRNA synthetase genes and some amino acid biosynthetic genes usually in Gram-positive bacteria. The anticodon of a specific tRNA base pairs to a specifier sequence within the T-box motif, and the NCCA acceptor tail of the tRNA base pairs to a conserved bulge in the T-box antiterminator hairpin. The record is from RNAcentral. Lineage: Bacteria; Bacillati; Bacillota; Clostridia; Eubacteriales; Clostridiaceae.